AGUCACUGACAUUAGAUACCCCUGUAGUCCCAGCCGUAAACUAUGCGCGUUAGGUGUACUGGUGACCACGAGUCACCGGGUGCCGAAGGGAAACCGUGAAACGUGCCGCCUGGGAAGUACGGUCGCAAGGCUGAAACUUAAAGGAAUUGGCGGGGGAGCACAACAACGGGUGGAGCUUGCGGUUUAAUCGGAUUCAACGCCGGAAAUCUUACCGGGACCGACAGCAACAUGAAGGCCAAGCUGAAGACUUUGCCGGAUUAGCUG
RNAcentral lists this ribosomal RNA (264 nucleotides) under uncultured archaeon. Its description in RNAcentral is "partial 16S ribosomal RNA". It matches the Rfam family "Archaeal small subunit ribosomal RNA", at positions 718 to 982 of the family's 1478-position model. The record is from RNAcentral.